RNA transcript from Dendrobium catenatum, 1752 nucleotides. It is a transcript of the gene named histone deacetylase HDT2, with no coding region annotated. The transcript is spliced from 10 exons. NCBI's taxonomy places the organism in Eukaryota, Viridiplantae, Streptophyta, Magnoliopsida, Asparagales, Orchidaceae. The record is from RefSeq and is a predicted model, not a curated record.
CGAACCUAUUAUUGCGCGUCCGCUCACGGAUGCAAUAAUCGUUUUCUACCGCCGCUGCUGCCGCCGCCGCCGCCUCACUGGUCAAUGCUUAAAUUAUACCACAAACCCUAAACCUCUCCGCCCAUUCUCUCUCCUGAGCAGCGCUGCCACAUCGAUCAAUCUGCCUUGAUGGAGUUCUGGGGUGUUGAAGUUAAACCUGGGCAGACGGUAAAGUGCGAACCUGGAGAUGAAGGAUACUUGCAUCUUUCGCAGGCUUCACUAGGUGAAAUCAAGAAGGAUAAGGGGACUGGAAAUGUUCCAGUUUUUGUUAAAUUUAAUGAUCAAAAGCUAGUUCUUGGGACCCUCUCUACAGAGAAUUGUGCCCAGAUUCAAUAUGAUAUUGUAUUUGAGAAGGAAUUUGAGUUGUCACACGGUUCAAAGAAUACCAGUGUAUUUUUUGUUGGUUACAAGAGCAUUCAUGAGAACUAUGCUUCUGAGGAUGAUUUAGAUGGUUCCGAUGUUGAGGCUUAUCUGAAUGAUCCGAAAGAGAUAGGAGAGGGUUGGCUCAAAAAGAAAAAUCUGGUAAAGCCAGGAAAAGUUGCUGCUGCUGAUAAGGAUGAUACUGUAGCUGCUAAGGCUAAAACUCAGACAGGGAAGCAGGACAAAGUUGAAAAACCAAAACUUGAUGACAUACAAAAUAAAGCUGAUGAUGAUGAUGAGGAAGAUAAGGAUGAAGAUGAUUCUAAUGAAGAAUCUGAUGACGAUGAUGAUUAUAAUGAUGACGAGGAACUAGUUAAAGGAAUGAUUGAUAGUGAUAGUGAUGAUGAGGAUAAGGAUGAUAGCUCUGAGGAUGAAAAGGCUAACUUAAAGGUUGAAAAUGGCAAGAAGAGAUCUGCUGAUGCUGCUUUGAAGUCUCCGAUUGGGAAAAAGUCUAAAACAAUAACUCCAGCUGGGAAUCUCAAAAUUGAGAGUAAAAAAACCCUCAUUUGCGUCGACGUCUACUCGCAUCUGCUCGACUCUUCGGCUUCGAGCUUUAAUAGAGGAAAAAAAAACUCAUUCGAAGCCUUCGACCUCUUCUUCCUCGACGACGUGCAAAGCUAAUAGCGUCUUCGUUCUUCUCCUUCGCGAAGCAAGAAGUCAACCUUGUCUCCUCCUGCAGGCCUGCUCUCAUCUCAUUCCCAAUUUUUUUAGGCGUGAUCAUCAGGUCUGUAAGUGAGGGCAUAACUUGCUUUGGAAAGUUCUUUCAUCCCCUCUUUCAGUUAGGUAACUUUAAAAUUGUUUAUAGUUUUGAUUUUUGAAUGCUUCUUAUGAAGUUGUUGUAGCUUUUGGAAAGCUCUUUCAUCCCCCCUAGCUCGUUUCAACCUGGAAGCUUGGGAAGAAAGCCAGCAUCAGUCGCUCACAUGUCAAGAAGCUCUUAAUGGCAUAAGCAAAGUAGUACAGGGAUAUCUAUUGAAUGGAUUCAGCCGUGAUUUGUACACCUGCUUGUAAUGCAUCGAUUAUGGACACUUGUGAUGAUGAAGUUAUUCACUGACGCAUAAAUUAAAUGAUGUUAUGGAUACAAAAGUGCAUUCUGAGUUUGCUUGCAUGUGUGGAAAGCAAUUAGAUGCAGUUAUGGAUGACACAACUUCUCCAAAUAAAUGCACUCCAACUGUUCAGUGACACAAAGAAAGGCAGCCAAACCCCUAUUCCCCAGAUUACUAAACAAGCUGGAAACAAAGCAAAACAACAGACUCCUAAAUCUUCUGGUUCAGUUAUGUGCAAGACAUGCAGCAA